This 253-nucleotide ribosomal RNA is filed under the name uncultured bacterium. RNAcentral's name for it is "partial 16S ribosomal RNA". It matches the Rfam family "Bacterial small subunit ribosomal RNA", at positions 524 to 776 of the family's 1533-position model. The record is from RNAcentral.
UACGUAGGGAGCAAGCGUUGUCCGGAAUCAUUGGGCGUAAAGCGCGCGUAGGUGGCUUCGUAAGUCCGUUGUGAAAGUCAAAGGCUCAACCUUUGAAAGCCGAUGGAUACUGCGGAGCUGGAGUACGGAAGAGGCGAGUGGAAUUCCUGGUGUAGCGGUGGAAUGCGCAGAUAUCAGGAGGAACACCAAUAGCGAAGGCAGCUCGCUGGGACGUUACUGACACUGAGGCGCGAAAGCGUGGGGAGCGAACAGG